UCCAGAAACUUCCUUAAGCCACCUUGCUAC
RNAcentral lists this non-coding RNA (30 nucleotides) under Mus musculus (house mouse). Lineage: Eukaryota; Metazoa; Chordata; Mammalia; Rodentia; Muridae. The record is from RNAcentral.